CAAAAGACAAUCACAGGGGCAG
Molecule: microRNA, 22 nt
Filed under: Monodelphis domestica (gray short-tailed opossum)
Lineage: Eukaryota; Metazoa; Chordata; Mammalia; Didelphimorphia; Didelphidae
Description: mdo-miR-12363-3p
Source: miRBase by way of RNAcentral